RNAcentral lists this long non-coding RNA (989 nucleotides) under Citrus sinensis (sweet orange). RNAcentral's name for it is "long non-coding RNA (CSIN_LNC000157)". Lineage: Eukaryota; Viridiplantae; Streptophyta; Magnoliopsida; Sapindales; Rutaceae. The record is from RNAcentral.
UUAUGGUCUCACUUUUUAGCAUGUUAUUCCAUUUUCAAUAUUCAAAUAUGUCUAAGCACCCUAAUAUACAUCUCAUGUAUAUUAAAGACAAACUAAUCAAGGAUGAUCAUGGAAUUUUCUAGUAAAACCAAUUUGUGCCAAAAUUGGUUUUAAGGUCCACCUAGGUAUCAAGCAAGCAAUAAUGAUUAUGAGACAUCUUAUGCCUCAAAUUAUUACAAUUAUUAGUCUCUAUUUGAGAGGCCAAAAUAUCAUUGGAAGUGCUGCAACGAUCCAAAAAGUCUUCUUGCUCCAAGGCAUCAUAAAUACGUCGUCCCUCCUUUUACAAUCAUCUUAUAGAAAUUACAUAUUUAGAAGAAUUGUGGUACAAAUUUAGGGGUAAUGGGAUACAAUCAGAUCUUAAUAGAGGGAGGGACAUGCAAGUCCCUAUUUAAAAAUAUUACAACCAUUUAAGCCUUUAGAAAUGGGCCAAAUCAACAAAUAAACCAAUAGUUCAUUCAAUCACGCAUAUAUUCAAUCAUCACAUGACAUAAAUCUAUCAUAAAAUAUCUAGGUCUUUCCAUGAUCAUCCUUCAUGCUAUUAUAAAUGGAAAUAACAGAAAUCAUGCUUCAAAAAUUUAAAAUUUAAUGAAGAUGGCUCUGAUACCACUUGAAGGACAACAUUUGUCCAUGGGGUUCCUAAAAAUGAAACUUUUGUGCAGUAAAAUUAAAACGGAUGGCGGAAGCUCUAGAAACCUCGGAUCGACUUCAUUAAAAAAAUAAAAUCAAGAGGAAAGAUUGAAGUUUAAUUACCUCACUUGUAGUUUCAAAAACGACUUCGUGAAGUAGGAGAAAAUGACUGAAAACAGCAAGCUACGAACACUGUCCAGAAAAUAGACCUCUGCACGAACAGCUUUUGUUUUGCCAUGAUUUGAGAUCCUUAAAGCACCCCAAUUGUGAUACCUCUAACCAGUCCAGACUUAUAAAUUUUUUAGGAGUUCAUAGGGUUUGGA